Molecule: ribosomal RNA, 3146 nt
Filed under: Trichinella sp. T6
Lineage: Eukaryota; Metazoa; Nematoda; Enoplea; Trichinellida; Trichinellidae
Description: eukaryotic LSU rRNA
Rfam family: Eukaryotic large subunit ribosomal RNA (bases 1482-3118)
Source: RNAcentral
UCCAAGCAUUGGAAAAGCUCACCACGUUUGAACUCAAAGAAUUACAGCGACGACAAGAUGAGCAGGAAAGACUGCGACGAACCGGUUCACCGCGCACCUCAACUCCAACUCGAUCACCGGAAAAGUUGGAAACUACUUUUCCAGCCGAAAGUGGUGGCCGAACUGAAACCACUUUGGGCGUGGACGAAGAAAGGCGCAGGCAACUGCAUUCUUCAGAAAGUCCCGGUUGGCGUAUAAGUUUGUCUCGAAGCAAAUAUUUUGAUGCAAAUGAUUCCGUCGGAACGGAAAGCGCCGAAGGUUUUGAAGGUCAUUUGAUCCGAAAGCAUACUUGGGAAACGUUGGAUAGAAAAGCGUCCAUUCGCUCUUGGGACAAAUUGUACUGUGUAAUUCGUGGAAGUCAGCUUGAAUUUUACAAAGACCACAAGCACCGAGAGGAUGGGGAACUUUAUCGUGGUGAAACGCCUAUCAAUUUGGUCGGUUGGAACGUGGAAAUUGCUUCAUCGUACACCAAGCGACGCAACGUGCUCUCUUUGAGAUCCCCAGCCGGUUUUGAAUACUUGCUGCAAGCUAGGGAUGAGGACGAUAUGCUGCGAUGGUUGCAUCAACUGAGAACUGCAGUGGGCAUUUUGGAAACGUCGACGAGUAGCAGUGGCAAAGCAUCUACACUGCCGGCAGCGCAGCAGCCGUCUGCGAAAAAGCGUUUCUUCGGAACGUUGAAGAAGAAACAAGCUUUAUAAAAAAGAAUAUAAUAACCCAGCUGAACGACAAUUCUGAUUUUACAUUUUUGAUCAUGUCUUUUUCAAAAAAAAAGUAUACAUCUAUUAUUAUACAUAUACGCAUCAUUUUUGUGCAUUUAAUUUUUCUGAAUCCGUGAAAGUUUCCAAACAACAGCACAAUAUUCAUUCUUCCUCUUUUUUCAUCAAUUAUAUUUUAUUAUUCGUUAUUCCUGUCUACCGUUUUCUUGCUAAUUAUUAUUAUUAUUAUAAAAUAGCAUAAUAUUUUUUUUUGUUCAGUUUAGUUUUUUUUUGAAAAUGAACAUUUUUCUUAUUUAAAUAAAUAAUGUGACAUGAUUUUGCUGCUUUUCAUGACGGAUGAUAGACUCAACAAUUUUCACUGGUAGGAGAAGGUAAAUGCGCUGUUGAACGUUGCUGACCCAUAGGAUUAGAAUUCGACUCGUCUGAACUAUCCUCGUUGGCUAGUAUCAAAUCAUCCAUAUCAAUAAGCAAGUCUUGCAUCUGAGUUAGACGAAGAAGAGUCCAUGUUUUCUUCCAUUGCCAUUGCGAUACAUCGACGCAGUCUACCUUCUUUUUCGCUGCAUGUUAUGUAAUCGUUGUCUGACCAGCUUCCACAAACUUCAACUGAUAAUUCCGGUGUUAAAUCGAAGCUUCCUGCACUGCUAGCCUCGACUACAACAGGCACGGCAUUGACAAACUGUCGAUUUGGCACUGGCAUAGGCUGACUUCGAUCCGAACUUUGAACAGCAGAUAACGGCAGUUCCAAGGAGGCGGACUGGAACGGAUCCGUAACUUCGGAACAAGGAUUGGCUCUAAGGGCUGGGCCGAUCGGGCUGAGGUUUCAAGCGUGCAGUGUAUGCUUGGCUGAGUUGUGUUGAGGACUUGUUCACUUGCCGCCGUUUGUUCGGUUGGUCUAGUGUAUUCGAGUCUGAAGCAGAGCUGGCCGACAGACCGGCACGUGCAGAACCUGAGCUGCGCGGCUGUCCGUUUACGUGUACAGACCGUUUCGGUCGGCAUUCAACAGCCAACUUAGAACUGGCACGGACACAAGGAAUCUGACUGUAUAAUUAAAACAAAGCAUUGCGAUGGCCGAUGAUCGGUGAUGACGCAAUGUGAUUUCUGCCCAGUGCUCUGAAUGUCAAAGUGAAGAAAUUCAAUCAAGCGCGGGUAAACGGCGGGAGUAACUAUGACUCUCUUAAGGUAGCCAAAUGCCUCGUCAUCUAAUUAGUGACGCGUAUGAAUGGAUCAACAAGAUUCCUUCUGUCCCUAUCUACUAUCUAGCGAAACCACAGCCAAGGGAACGGGCUUGGCAAAAUCAGCGGGGAAAGAAGACCCUGUUGAGCUUGACUCUAGUCUGACUCUGUGAAGAGACAUGAAAGGUGUAGCAUAGGUGGGAGAUUGUCAAAUUGCCAUCGUUCGCGCGGUGGUCCGGUGAUCGCCAAUGAAAUACCACUACUUUGAUCGUUUCUUUACUUAUUCGGUAAAGCGAAAAAAUUGUGGCCAAUUUGGCGGUUUAUGUCGCUGUUGGUCAUUGUUUUCAUGUUAGAUUGAAGCUUUGUUUACAGCCGUCGCUUUGUGUCGCCAUUUGACGCAUUGUUGUACUGGGUUAUCCCGGUGUGUGGUGUAGUCAGUAUGGAUGAUCGGCGAUAGGUUUGAAGUGAUUCGCUCCGGAAACAGUGUCAGACGGGGAGUUUGACUGGGGCGGUACAUCUGUUAAACGAUAACGCAGGUGUCCUAAGGUAAGCUCAGCGAGGACAGAAACCUCGCUUAGAGUAAACGGGCACAAGCUUACUUGAUUUUGAUUUCCAGUACGAAUAGAAACCGCGAAAGCGUGGCCUAUCGAUCCUUUUGAUUGUGUAGAUUUCAUGCAAGAGGUGUCAGAAAAGUUACCACAGGGAUAACUGGCUUGUGGCAGCCAAGCGUCCAUAGCGACGUUGCUUUUUGAUCCUUCGAUGUCGGCUCUUCCUAUCAUUGCGAAGCAGAAUUCGCCAAGCGUUGGAUCGUUCACCCACCAAUAGGGAACGUGAGCUGGGUUUAGACCGUCGUGAGACAGGUUAGUUUUACCCUACUGAUGACAAGUCGUUGCGAUAGUAAUCCUGCUCAGUACGAGAGGAACCGCGGGAUCAGACAUUUGGUUCAUGCGCUCGGCUGAAAGGCCGGUGGCGCGAAGCUAGCAUCUGCAAGAUUAUGACUGAACGCCUCUAAGUCAGAAUCUUUUCUAGUCAUUGGCAACGAUAAGUUGCGUCCAGACUCGAUGCGAGGAAACGAUUAGGCUUUGCUAUACGGCGAAGCCAUUAUCAGACCACGGUAGCAGGCAGUAUGGGAUUGUUACGAAAAAGCAAUUUUUUGAAGUCAGUUGAAUUCAAUCAAACUGCUAACAAUUCCACUGCGAAUGACUCCAUUCGAAUCAAU